This 459-nucleotide ribosomal RNA is filed under the name uncultured microorganism. Its description in RNAcentral is "bacterial SSU rRNA". It matches the Rfam family "Archaeal small subunit ribosomal RNA", at positions 330 to 745 of the family's 1478-position model. The record is from RNAcentral.
GUGCAACAGGCGAGAAACCUCCGCAAUGCUCGAAAGAGCGACGGGGGGACUCCAAGUGCCUACGCUCAGCGUAGGCUGUUCCCGAGCCUAAAAAGCUCGGGGAGUAAGGGCUGGGUAAGACGGGUGCCAGCCGCCGCGGUAAUACCCGCAGCCCGAGUGGUGGCCGCUAUUAUUGGGCCUAAAAGCGUCCGUAGCCGGCUCGGUAAAUGCCUGGGUAAAUCGACUGGCCCAACCAGACGAAUUCCGGGUAAACUGCCGGGCUAGGGACCGGAGGAGGGAGAGGGUACUCCAGGGGUAGGGGUGAAAUCAGCAAGGUGAGUUGCUGAUGUAACUUGCCUUGCAAGUCACAAUCCUGUAAUCCCCUGGAGGACCACCGGUGGCGAAGGCGCUCUCCUAGGACGGGUCCGACGGUGAGGGACGAAAGCCAGGGGAGCAAACCGGAUUAGAUACCCCCGUAGU